RNAcentral lists this ribosomal RNA (449 nucleotides) under uncultured bacterium. Its description in RNAcentral is "bacterial SSU rRNA". It matches the Rfam family "Bacterial small subunit ribosomal RNA", at positions 96 to 562 of the family's 1533-position model. The record is from RNAcentral.
UGGCGGACGGGUGAGUAGCGGUUGAGUAACCUGCCGUAUACCGGGGGAUAACCGUUAGAGAUGACUGCUAAUACCGCAUAAUCGCACAGUGCGGCAUGGCACAGUGUGAAAAACUCCUGGUGGUAUAUGAUGGACUCGCGUCUGAUUAGUUAGUUGGUGAGGUAACGGCUCACCAAGACAGCGAUCAGUAUCCGACUUGAGAGAGUGAUCGGCCACAUUGGGACUGAGACACGGCCCAAACUCCUACGGGAGGCAGCAGUGGGGAAUAUUGCACAAUGGGGGAAACCCUGAUGCAGCGACGCCGCGUGAGUGAAGAAGUAUUUCGGUAUGUAAAGCUCUAUCAGCAAGGAAGAUAAUGACGGUACUUGACUAAGAAGCCCCGGCUAACUACGUGCCAGCAGCCGCGGUAAUACGUAGGGGGCAAGCGUUAUCCGGAUUUACUGGGUGUA